AUACCCAUGACUGACACAGCAUACGUUAAAAUACAAAUAUGCCCAGCCAAUCAGAGAAAUUGAAAGUGGAGCAGCACUGCUGAUCCUUUCGUGAAAGUUCGAACGUCAAAUUUCGUUGCCAAUUAGCUACGGAAAUUGAAAAUCAAGGCAUUGGUUUUGUUUAACUUAACCUAUAUUGCAGAUUUUAUUUGCUUUGCUUGCUUCCUAAUAAUUGAUUAAUUAUCAACAAUUAUAUCAACUUUGCGACUAUUUGAGUGAAAAUUCAUAGUGUAUAGUGUUGAGUGUUUACUCCAUUAUCUAUACAAUCCAUAUCUGUGCUGGUUUUGGGCUCAAAAACAAACAAUUUUGUGUUUGAGUUUCAUUACCUUUCAAUAAACUUGCCAGUGUUUCUUAGUGCAUAAUUUCCUUCCACUUAAACGAAUAUUUGCACUUAUCUGUUGCUGUCUGUUAGACAAUUCACAAGAUCACUAAGUCAACAAAAUGCAAUCUGUGAAGUUUGUGAUAAGGAAUUUUCAAGCACAUCUACCAGAAACAGGCAUUGGAAAAAGUUUCACCCUGAAUUUGUUGGGAAGGAACAAAUAAAACACAUUAUAUGUCCAAUAUGUACUAAUGAUAUCCACACAUUUUCAUAUUUCAACUGUUUAAACAAACAUUUGCUUGAUAUUCACCAUAUAACUGUCAAAGAAUCAAUUUUAAAUUUUAGGAAUUUUGAAGAAUUCAUAUCUUGGAGGGCACAAGAUAAUAGGGAAGUAGAUUAUGCUUGUCAGACCUGAAACAAGUUUAAGAAUGGGGAAGAACACAUAUUUUACAAUUGCAACCAGAAGUGAUAUCAGAGGAUUUAAUAGCGCAUGCAAAGUGAGAAGUCUGGGGGAAGCAUUUGCAUUCAAGGAACAUGUCAACAAGACCAAACUCAAAUAGCUAUCAGCAUAAAAUUGUAAUAGAAGCCCAUAACAAAGCCGAAAAAAUGAAUGGUAAGGUAGAAUUUUUAGAAUUUGGAAAAUUUUAAGUACAAAGUGUUUCGGUAAGUGGUAAGUUCUAUGUUGUGUCUUAUCAUGAACUAUGUGAUGAGCAAUGUUGCACUGGAUACUGUAACAUCUAUAAAAUAUGUUUUCAUAAAUACAGAUGUUAGUAUCCAGAAAAUUCUGUCUAAACAGUACUUUGUAAACAUAUACGUGCUGUAGCCAUUUUUGAGCAGAGGAGCGAGUUUUUGUAGGUUCCCCAACUGUGAGUGAAGAGGAAGAGGAUAAUGUUUUGUUUGUUGAUCAACCCACAACUAGCCAAAUCAAUUAUCAGGAGGAUGUAAACCAUUUUAUUCAGGAGAGUUCAAAAAUGAAAGUCAAUAGUUCUGCAAUGGACUUUGAAGAAAAUCGAGAAAUUGCAUUGCAAGAAAUUUGUAGCUAUGGUAGAAGUUUAGAUAAAAAUGCAUUUGCCAGAUUUAUGGCUGUAAUCAACAAAUUUAAAAAUAAAGAAGUGAAGGAAGAAAAUUCUCAGGGCAUUGAAAAGAAAAAAAUUGAAAAGCAAAUGUACUAUCCAAAUAAAAAAUAAGCUAGAUUUCUUUGUGUAUUUAAUGGCUAGAUAAUAUUUGAAUUGUAGCUAUUUUUUUAUGUUUGUAUAGUUGUGAAGUUAACAAAAAUAGGAUGUGGUAUUUUAUAUGGUAUUUUGUGUUAUAAUCAGUGUAAUAUACUUAAUACUAAGUAUAUUUUUUGUAAGGUUUUGGUGCAGGUUUCAAAUUGUAAAUACAAAUUUUAUGUAAGAGGUCAUAUACAUCAGGUCAUAUAUGCUAGGUAUAGUUUUUGUAAGGCUUAAUUUGGUGUAGGUUUCAAAUUGUAAAAACAAAUUUUAAGACUUUCAAAUUUUAUAUCUUCUAUUUUAAGACUAAAAUGUUAUCUUAUUUUGUAUGUUAAUAUUCAACUAAUCAUUUUCUAUUACAUGUUGUUUGCUAUUUUUUUAAUAUUUUUUAGGGUGCUGAAAAGCUAGUUGGAUUAACUUGAAAUUCACGAGGGGGAAGAUCUGUGAGUAUAUAUUUAUUAAUUAAAAUGUAUACAAAGCAGUAAUUUUUUUCCAUGUUACUAUUGUAUGGAAAUUUGAAUAGCUUGGGCUGUAUAUACAUGACCAGUAGAGAUGACAAAUAAGCUAAAGAAGUGCGAGUCUACAUACCAUAUACCAGAUUAAUACAUUUAGCCUCUGCAUUUAAUUAAUUGAGGUUGUUGAUAUUAGAAAUACCAUAAAUUAUUAUAUUU
RNAcentral lists this long non-coding RNA (2240 nucleotides) under Anthonomus grandis grandis. Its description in RNAcentral is "uncharacterized LOC126734452". The record is from RNAcentral. Lineage: Eukaryota; Metazoa; Arthropoda; Insecta; Coleoptera; Curculionidae.